UAUCCUGUUUGUCAUCGAAAUUACAUAAAAGGAAUUCGUCAGAUGUCCCAUCGUCAUACCUGUGGUAUGCAUACAUAUGUACUACAUUUACCACUGGGUUAACGAGUCGCUCGUGUGCAAUUUAUAUAACUUCAUCACGUUAAAGAAAAGGAUUCGAACCGUAGCAUUAAGGGGCAAGCUUUUGUCAUGUUAACACAAACGAUUCUGAAUUCCAUAAAGAAAUGCUCCCAGCUUCCGUUUUUAGUUUUGUCCAUUAUCAAUUUGGGGAUUUUUAAUGAAAAUUUAACGCUUUUCAGACAACAUUGUAUUGCCUGGUCAGACGUCACUGAUGUGAUUGUAUAAAAGUGAUGUUGGUUAUGUUUAAAAAAAUACAUCGUUAGUCAAAGUAAUUUUUUUUUCUGUAUAUAAAAAACAACAACAAAAAACAACAACAACAAAAACCGUACUUCCCAUUAGAUAAGCAUACACAUUUGUGUUAUUAAAAGCAUGAAGCAAAUAAAACCGUUAUACCCGGUCACAUAUUCACGAAAUACGCCCACGGAAGAGCCACAGAUUAAUUGGAGAGGUCAUCAGACCUCUCCACAGUCUUCAAUAAGUCGAUAACAGAGACCUGCAUGCAUACUUCUGUUUUUCAAUCUAGAUGCUCGUAAUAAUUUGCUAGAGUUUUGUAGUGAAUGGAUCUCAUUUAAAGCGUAAAACAAGAAAAGCAUUGAUGCAAAGCAUCAAAGGGUGUCCAGGCAAGAGAAACAGCAAGUGAAGAUGAACUGUAAGACAUCUGAUGACCAGAUAUUCUUAUAAACUUUUCAAUGGUUAAUUGUUUUUACCAGAAUUAAUUAUUAUUUAUGAAUCGGCGGACGAAAGACACUGUUCAUCAGGAACUUUUGUAGGCAUGCUAGAGAUUAGAAUUAUUUUUUUUUCCACAGGAACUUGAAAUUAUAUCAAUAUUAACGAUAAUUUUCAAAAUAUUCAGGUGUAUGAUAUACAAUAUAUACCCCCUAUAUAAUAUAAGUUUAUUUAUACUAUAUAGGGGGUAUUUUUGGAUAUUAUCAUUAAUAUUGCUUAUUUGAUAUAAUUUCAAGUUCAUGUGGUAUUUUCUUUGGAAUAUACAAAAUAGUAGUCAAAAUGAACAAAGUCUGUUAAUAAUUGGAAGGUCAUUCAACCAUUUGAAUGAAUUACUUCAAAAACCUCGUCUGACUCAUAACAACUUAUGCUAAAAUUGCUGAAAGUUUCUGUUGUUAAAAUGUCACAAUAUUCGGCAAAUCAACAUUCCACUCAAACUUUCAUUUAAACAAAAUAUAGAACAUCAGAAGUUUUUCUUUAGAUUUUAAAAGAGUGCAAUUGAUUGUUUGAAUAUGUUUGCAUUUCAUUUACUGCAAAAUUCGCCUGUUCGUUAUUUAUUACCAUACUAUAACGCGACAUGAACGACCAUUUCGUUAAACAAAAAAAAAACUACUUCUAUAAAUAGAUUUUCGGACUUUCACAAUGUUAAGGUAAUUAUUCUAUUUAUAGCUUUCGGAUUCAUGUACAUCUACAAUAAAAUACAUAAUUACCCACUGUGUACUACAAAAUGAUUAAUAAAAAAACGAACAGAACGCAAUUUAACAACGAUAAAGAUAGUUUCAUUUUAAUAUGUUUGCAUUGCAUAAUUCGCCAGUUCGCUAUUCAUUGUACAUAUCGGAACAUGUCACUUUUAACAAGUAAAAUGGUUUCCUGCGGGGAACAUUUUUAAUGAUAUAAAGAUAUUUAAUUUAACUAUUUUCAACAAUGUUUUGGGGGAUAAAUAAACGUUUGUAUCAGGAAUAUAGUUGACAAUAAACGAUCAAUAUAGAAGUAGGUCUUUGAAAACUGAUGACCGUUGAAGGUUGAAUAUAAAACAAUUAUUUCUGUUUAAGAAAAUUAUUAAAUAGGACUACCAUUUUAUGAAUAAUUUCGAGCAAAAAAAAAGUAAACACACAAAUUUACGCAAAAAAUAUCUCUAUCUAUUAAUUAUGGCAGAUGCCACUACGUAUAUUUUAAUCUUGUAGAUUUUCAGUAUAAACAAUUUAUUGUUUGUAAAAUUUGAGAAAGAUACUAAAGAAUCAUUGAAAAUUUCAAACACAUCAUCCAAGUUUCUCCACCUUAAACGGUAAAAUAAUUAUAGAAAAUUAGAAAUAUCACGUUAUAGCUUUUUGUUCUUAAUUAAGUGUAAUUCGGACUAAUUCCCUAGCGGUAAAUCCGUAACAUACCGGCAAACGGUAUUUAGCUAGGUUUUCGAAAAGGUCAAUUAACCAAUCAUGUCAGGUUUACAGAUCACAUGCUCCUCCAUGUACCAAAAACAGGUCACGUGCUCCUCCAUGCCUCAAAAGUUAAACGCGUACCAAUACCCUGCGGUCUCCAGACCGCAGGGAAUAAUCAAGUACCAUUCGGAAUUAUCGGCUAUUAUGAUCGAGAAAAGGCCCGAGAAGUUGCAAUUGCCCUUUCACAAAAUCUGAUUUCAUUCCAUAAGAGCGUCGCGUUCGGCGCGGAUGCCAAUCAUUAUGGCGGCAUCCAUUUUUGUGUAUCUGAUUGUACUGAAUGAAUCUCAUGUAAAGCGUAAUAUCAUUACCCAGCAGGCACUCAACGUUGUUUCAACGUUGAAACAACGUUGAAAUAUGGUCGUGACGUUGUUCAACCAAUAUUCAACUAUGGGCGACCAUACGGAUAUAUUGCCAAUGUAUAUUCAACGUUGAUUCAACGUUGUUUAUUGUCGAAGUUUAACAUUUAGUUUUAUCAUUAUAUAAACUUUUAUACCACUAAUUUCGUGUCAUUAUUCCUUUAUUGAAUAAGUCUGUAAGUGAUUUUUAUCAGGAAAAUUUGCGGUACAAUCUUUUUCCGGAUAUUCAAAAUAAGCGCUUAAACAAAUGAAGUUGGAGAUAAUUUUUCACUUUCUAUUAACGCUUUUAAUAUUAGUAAAUAUGUUUGGUUGUAUGUUGUUUUUUUUUAGUUCUUUAUGAAUAAUAUUAAUUAAUUAAUUGAUAUUAGUCAAAACCCCGUUUAUAAAAUAACGCUGGUCAGGGGAAGUAAUUGUUGCGGUCCCUGAUUUUGUUUGUUGUCUAUGAUUAUCGUUCGUGGAAAUGGUGGCGCUGUUUCGAAAUUUAAAAAACAACACGAUUCGGCAAUUUAUUUGGAUUUCGGAGAUCCUGGUCCCGGCUGAAAUUUAGAGUAUUUAGAGUAUUGCAGCUGUAGCCAGUAUACCAUACAUUCAACAUGAAAAGGACUGUCAGGAUGCUGCAUAAAAUGGUCUAAGCUAGAGCCUAGAAUGAUAAUUUCUUGGGAAUAUGCUGCAAGUAACUGACGGGGAGCAGUUUUUCUUACCAAUCAUAGAAGCAGAAAGAGACAGCCAAAGAAGUACUCAAACACUUGACAUACCCAGAAAGAUCUAGAAGAAAAGAUUGGAACAGAUUGUAGCUUAAUUGUUAAACUAUUAAAGUGAAUUUAAGCUGCACUUGAACUGUAUUUUUGAAAUAAAAUAUCUGAAGUAUUUAAUAUUGUCUUGAUAUUUUGUUAAAAUAUGGUUACUUUGCUUUAUAUCCAAAAAAAAAGUAUGGUGGGUUUUCAACGUUGAAAUGACAUUGAAACUUCAACGUUGUACCAACGUUGAAGCUGCAACGUUGUAUCAACGUUGAAAUUUCAACGUUGUUUCAACUUUAAAAUCCGAAUAUAAAUCCAACCUCAUUUCAACGUUGAAAUCUGACCAUAAUUCAACGUUGAAACAACGUUGAUGUGCCUGCUGGGUAGGAGCAGUCUAUAAAAAUGGUUUUGCGCAUGCUCCGUUUCAAAAUACGACUUAACUUAAACGAAAAAUUAACAUCGAAGUGAACAAAUUGGUACAUAGAAAAAUCGGAAAAUAUGAUUUACGUUACUUAGCGCAACGUUGAUGUUUCAUUCAGUUUUAAUGUUUUAAAAUGUAUAAAUCGAUUACCAUAUUGUUUCUGAAUAGCGUUUUAAUAUUUCGUGUUUCGAUAAAUCGUACUGCCCCGGUCACAUAUUCAUGGAUAAUGCCACGGAAGAGCUACGGUCUAAUCGUUCACGGAUUACUACGGAAAGGUGAAAUUCCGUAGUCCGCUAUGGUUCCAGUACGGACACACAACGGUAUGAGUACGAAGUCCGACGGAUUUACCACCAAAGUCCCCCGGAGAGACACGGAUUGCUAUACGGACCGACACGGUUUAAUACGGAGCGACACGAAUCAGGACGGACGCACUACGGAUACACUACGGUCUGCUACGGUAUAAGCACGGGUUAGUACGAAUAAGUACGGUCUGAUACGGAAAAGAACGUAUUGAUACGGAGAAGAACGAAUUGCCACGGAUCUAUACGGACUUAAUACAUCCUUCCACAACCUCUUGCUUGCUCAUUUUCAAAAUGCCUCAAAAAAAAAGAACACCUAGAAAACGAAUUGCAGCGUUCAACGAUUUUGGCGCUGAGGAUUCAGCCUAAUCGCGUCCGAACCCCGAGACACAUCAGGUCCAAUUAAAGUGAAUUUCUUGAAGGACGCUGGAUCCUCAACAAGUUCGACCAUGAGAGCCUCAUACUAAACAUGAAGGGGUCUUCGUAAAAGCCCAUCUCUAGUCCACCAUCUCGUCUGUCUUCUAAUACCUGAUUAGAUAUGGACUAGUAACCAUUAAUGAAAAAUGUUGAUCAAUACUGCUUCUCUUUUAAUUUUAAGAUUUGCUGCUUAUCUUAAAAUUACAUUUAUUAUCGUGAUGUUUAUGUAAAAAGCUUGUUAAUUAAUCUUAUUAUCACUCAAGGGCCAGUGUCCGAGGCUUAUGAGACACUUCGUUUUAUGUACAUAUUUACUCCAUUUUUACGAUCUUAUGUUUGUAAAAUAUGUAACGUUAAAUGUUAUUCUAUUUCUUAUGAAUUUUAGUACGAUAUUAAUAUAAAUUUACUUCUAUGCAUGUCAUCAAGCAACUCGACCACUGCCUCCGCAUUCUCAGCCAUUUCAAUAUAAAGUUGCAGCCAGUAAAUGGCAAUUAUCAUUUAUCAAAUGUUUGUGCAAAUACAUAUGUCUGUUUUUAAAAAGAAGGUAGUAUUUAUACACUUGAAAAAGUACAUGAUACUUAAUUCAUCCGUACUAAACAGUGGUGGGCCGUGCCAUUCCGU
This is a long non-coding RNA of Ruditapes philippinarum (Manila clam), 5124 nucleotides long. RefSeq lists it as uncharacterized. The record is from RefSeq and is a predicted model, not a curated record. NCBI's taxonomy places the organism in Eukaryota, Metazoa, Mollusca, Bivalvia, Venerida, Veneridae. The transcript is spliced from 4 exons.